Molecule: small RNA, 232 nt
Filed under: Gordonia terrae
Lineage: Bacteria; Bacillati; Actinomycetota; Actinomycetes; Mycobacteriales; Gordoniaceae
Description: c-di-AMP sequence
Rfam family: c-di-AMP riboswitch aptamer (ydaO/yuaA leader)
About the family: This family represents a conserved RNA structure found upstream of the ydaO and yuaA genes in Bacillus subtilis and related genes in other bacteria.
Source: RNAcentral
CAGUAGUCACCGCUCAAUCGCCCUCGCGGCGAACCGGGGAACCACAACCUUCGGGCGGGCUCGUCGGAGCGCAUCACCAUCGAUGCGCUUCUCGCGAAACCGUUCCGAAUCGGGGUGAAUCGCGUUGCCACGCAUGAGUGUCCAGUGGAUACCUCAUGCGCGAAACACGCGUAGGGCCACUCUUCCGGCCCGAACCCGACAGCUAACUCGGUCGGCGGUACAGGAAGAUCUG